GACAAAAAACACUCUUCAUCCAGUAGGGGACUCGGGAGAUGUCAAGGCUCUUCCUCAAGAAGCUUGAAGGCUAGCUGGGGAGAGAGACGUGCAAACAAAAACAGCACAAGACACAGUGUAGAAAGUAUCAUAAUGGGAACGUGUAUAGAGUACUCAGAGGAGGAAGGAGGAGUUUCCCAGAGAAGACGCUUUUUGAACUAGGUCCUGAAGGCAUUGAGCAGCCCUAGGAAUUCCGGGUGGGACACAGGCUCGACCUCUUAUGGAAAGCCCCUGAGGACAACCAUCUGGCUGAACUCUUCUCCCUCUACCACCUAGAAAAAAAAUCCCAUCUACAACCUGCUUCGAAUGCCUGGCAGAACUGCCUCCCAAACCCUCACCCUCCAGCCUCCACCUUGCCAAUCUGGUUUGGCUCAUCACUGAUUGGGGUCCUAAACUCCAUUCUGAUGAUUGCUAAUGCAAAAUGCAUUACCUUGGUGUUGAAGUUAGCACCAAACAGGUGCUUUCAGGGAUGCAGGUUAUGCCAUAAACUUUGGUAAAUUCCCCACAAGCAUUUGGGCUCAUGGAAGGCAUACAAUAAAAGGCUUCAUAGCAGGUGUUAAAAAUGAGCCUUCAUCUCGGGGGCUCAGGUCUGCCCAUGCUGAUUAAAAUUCUACAACAUUCACCAUUUUCCUUAGCAUUGCUCAGGGGAUUAGGCGAUCAGUCAUAUCCUACCAGCCACAACUUUUAAAAAAUAAACUUGGGAAUAAAGUCACAAGAGGAAAUGAGGACUAUUUGGAAAUUUGAGAACCCACAUGUUCUCUAUGAUAUUUUUAUUUUCUUUAUUUUAUUUUUUUUUUCCUGAGGAAGAAUUUCAAAGUUUCAACCUGUUUCAAUGCUAGCCCAUCUGGCUGCCUUAUUAAUGAAAACAGCAGCAUCCACUAAUGCUAUCAUGUGAGGCAACAGUACUUUCCAAAAAAUUACAGAAAGAAGUUUGGGAUUUGAUGUACCAUAUUUUAUCUUUGAAAAAAUAAAUCCCAACUAGAGAGUGCUUGAGAGAGAGUGUGUGCAUAGAAAUAUUUGAUGAGUCACGCCUGGUGUUGUAGGUCUAUUCCAGUGUGUGGGGUUUCCAGAACCAUUACAUAAGUGUUAGCAUGGCCAGGAACUUUUGAUAUUUGUGGUAGCUUAAUAGAGUUCUUUUUAUCAUUGAAAAUACCCUAAUUGUUGUUUCCUUAAAUUUAAAAUGCAUAAAACUGGUGAAGCAGUAUAAAUUGAUUAUGAGAUGUUUCUAUCAAGUAUGCUCUGUUGGCAGAGAAACUGAUGGAAAUGUAUUUAAAAUGAAAUACAGGUGAUUGAGCUGUAACAAAUGCAAGGAUCUAAUCAUCCAGCAAAAAUUGGCUGAGAGCAUAAAUUUUUAGUGAGCUUUCUCUUUUUCUUCUAUCAUCCAUCAAGAUUUCCUUUACAACCUGUGUGCCCAUACAUGUUGUUCACCUGGCUAACCUUACAAAUGGGAAUUGAGUAACAUGAUUUUGAAAAUUCUGGGGUUACAAAAGCUACUAGAACAUCUGGGCACCUGAUUUUUAUUUUUCAGAUGAUUGCCCAGGAAAGAAGGUGAUAUUCCAAGCACCAUUAAUAUGUUUGCUAAAAUAUUAGUUACCUGUUGCCGAUUCAUCUUUUCUAUCUCAAAAGUAAGAGAUGGUUGAGGGGCUUUCUAGGGAGGAUGGAGCCAUUGGUGCCUGUAGGUGUCUUACACAACUUUCCUACCAGCUUGUUUUCCUGCAGAUAGGAGGAUGCGGUGUUAGGUGUUAAGGUAUUUAUUGGUUCCAAAGGCAGAGUGCAAAGGACAAACAGGCGGAGUGGGCUCUGACUCACCGAAGCUGCUCUCUACUUGUGCCUUUGUACUUUUGAGUGGAGAGCAUAGUUCACCAAGUCCAACUCUGCACACCCAAGUUCUGUAGGAUUCUUUCUGCAUGACCACAAGUAACUGAAAGCCUUUUCUCUGUAGAGGAACUGAUAGUGCUGAGCAGUCUGGAAAUCCUUAUAGAGAAGGUAUGGUGGGACGGUGUGAGCUGGAUGGGCUGUGAUCACCUAGAUGAUAAUGUAAAUAGGAUCACCAAUAUAGUCAGUAUCCUUGUGACACACAGUCAUCAUUAGAGUUUGCUUGUUGAUGUUGGAGUACUGCAUGCUACCCAGGACUAUUUUCAAGAAUCUAUACUUGAACAUUGUUCCCCUGGGCCCUAGGAGACAUGAUGGAAAGAGGAAUUUUGUGUCCCUGCCAGGUUUCCUAGAUAAUAGAGAUUAUUCUCUAGGAGGAAGUGAUGCAUUCAUCCCAGGGCUGAGAAAGUGGAGGUGGGGGUAGAGUAAGACAGCCUUGACAAAUAAGAAAAGGCUAACAAAACCAAUGGCCAAGUUAGAACAUACCCUCUGCACCACUGGAAAGGAGCUAAAUGGAGGCCUUCCCCUGCCCCCCCCCCCCACAUACACACACACACACACACAUAUACUUUGUUUCACUGAAAAACUCCGCAUCUUCCACUUCUCUAUUCUUGGCUUUCCAUACCCAGUAGUCACAAGUCUGACCAGCUCUAUCACUUCUGAUUCUGGAAUCUAUCCCUUCUCCAACACAACAGUGAGUUCAGUCUGUUACCAUCUUUCACUUACAAUACUGCUGCAGCCCUCCUAACUGGACUGCUCACUUCUCUUGCCCACAACACAUCUUUCACCAAGGGGAUCUUUCAUGUCUUUCCACUGUUUAACACACUUAACUUUCCAGGUCUUCAGGAAAAAUUCCAGAUUACUUAGCAUGCUACAUCAAACCCUUUAUGAUCUGACUUUCACCCACCUUUGUAGUUGCUUAUUCCAGCCCUUUUGCUCAUGCUGUUCCCUCUGCCUAGAGUGUACUUUCUCCCCUUCUUCACCCAGUAAAUAGAACUGAGCCCUGCGAGAUAGUUCAAAAGCCACCUCUUCUGAGAAGUCUUCCCUGAUUACUCCAAGGAGAUUCCACCAUUGCCUCCUCCUGAUGCAUUAUUUAUAUUUUUAUUAUAUCACUUAUCAUACCAAUAUAAUUAUUUUUCUGUGUCAUUUCUCUUCUUCUCCAUUCUCUCUGCUCAACUCCUAAUGAAUUAAUGAUCUCCUUGAGGGUAGUAGGGGUUAUGUUCUAUUUAUUUUUGUAUCCUCCAGUUGCUAGAACAGUAUCCGGUUAGUGUUUGUUCAGUGAAUAAAUUAAGGAAUGAGGGAAUGAAUGAAGGCCUGGGUGAAUAAAUGAAGAAAUGAUGGAAUGAAUGAGAAAAUACAUUGAGCAAAAUUUCUUUAAUGGGCUGGUCUUUGAAAGAGCCGUGUGACACCAGUGCCGCCACUAGAGAUCUUCAGGGUCAACAGUUACAGACUGCUUCUAGAGUCGGGGGAAGAGAGGUUGGCCACUCAGACAUGGAAAUGAUCUGAGGAUGGGAAAGAGACAGCUGGAGCCCUAGGAGAGGACAUGUAGAGGACUGUGGUAUUGUUUUUUGUUGUAAGCUUUCUCAGCCACCUCUUCCCACAAAUUCACUGCCUUCCCCACUCGCAGCAAUGGGCACGUGCCCCAUGCCUGGCUAGUCAUGGUUCCCUAUUCCCCUGGGCAUGGUGAUUGGGCUAGUCUGGGCAUGUGACAAAGCUGUGCCAAUAAGAUCCAUCCUCAGGAUUUGCUGAUUUGGGGGCUAGACUGCUGAUGGGGAAAUGUUUUUGCCUCCAAAGAUAUGGAGAAAAACUGGGGUUUCCCACUUAGUUGAGAAUUCAGUCUGUGGUUGAAGAGAAUGAAACCAAGCAUGGGCAAGCAGCAAUGCAAAGGGGGUGGAAAGUCCUGUCAGAGUGGGGUUCUCAUUCCAGUUUCUGCUAUCCAUCCUUCAAUUCUGUUAGCCAGUCCACUGUCUUUCCCAGUUGUGUAAGAGCUAAGUCCCCUUUAUUUUGCUUGAACUCAAUUUGAGUUGGGUUUACAUCCCUUGGAACUGAAGGAAUUCUGACUAAUGUAGAAAUUUUGGAGCUCCAGAGUAGUGUACCAUGAGUCUCAGCACUGGGAGGCUUGGAAGUACCCAAACCCAAGGCACAAGAAACCAUAAGAAGAAGUCCUUUGGGAUGGCCAUAAAAUUGGACCACCUUACAGACUUGCUAAUUGGGUAGUAAAAAAAAAAAAAAAGCCUCUGCUUGGAGGGCUUUACUUGGCCCUCAUGGGUGUUAGUCACUUCAAGGAGGAGUAAAAUUUCUGUCACUUUCUUCUUCUUGUCUUCCCUCCCUUCCUCUCUUUUCUUCUCUCUCAGAACAAAAUGGAAGAGAAGGAACUAGUAUUUAUUGAACACUCAUUACAUGCUUGACAUUAGAUGAGGUGUUUUCAUGAACAUUGUCACAUUUUAAUUCUCAUAACUUAUCUGCAUUGAAGUGUAGAACCCCAGAAUUUAAGGAUGAAGAAACUAAAGUUCAGAGAGGUUUAGUAACUUGCUUAAAAAAAAUUGCAUAAUCCCCAGAACUUGGUGGUGUAGAGUAGAGUGAGGGAAAUUCUAUGAAGACGGAUAUCAAAGUUCAGAUUUUCAGUGCAGGUAUACAUGGAAAAAGAAUCACAUUGUAGCUUGCACAAAAAAUUUCAUAAUGAAUGUCAGUGCUUUGUAUAUCUACCAGUGUACUCCUUGUGGCUAAAGAGAGUAACUAAUUAACUCGUUCUGGGAGUUCUGGGGUUGUAGCCUCAAAUUCAGACUUUAAAGUCUCCUAUGUAUCUUAAAACACAUAGAUUUUGCAUUCAACUCCCUGAGUUCGUUUUCAUGUAAAAAUAAUUUGCCCCAAAUUUAUUUUAUGCAAACUUGAUAUUCAGGAAGAUGAUCAUAUUUAUUCUGUGGCUUCCAGUGCAUUCAAGCACUCUGCUCUGUAUCCCUUGAAAAGCAUGAACAUUAUCAAUCAGAAUCCUCUCUGAACCAGAGAUGCCACAUACAGAAGACUUUGCACCAUCACUUUAUAGAUGUAGAGGGAGAAAUUGAAGACAUAGACUCUGUGUGCCCAAAGAUUCAUGUACAUAUGAAUAAUCACCUUUGUAUAUACAACCAAUAGGAAACAUUAAAUUAACUGGGUUUUGUUGUCUAGUGAAGGCCCCUAUUAGUCAAUAUAUAUGGACUUCAAGUGUGAGGGAAUCCAAGCAAACAUUCUGUUCUAAAGAAGAGAUGGCUGAUCUGGCUAGUGAGGUUUCUUUGCAUGCAAGCAACUGACUAACAUAGUGACAUGGGAAUUUAUGGGAAGGGUUUCUGUCAGCUCUUAGGAUGGACCAGAAGACUCAGAAAUUGAUAGAAACCAGGGUGGUGGGGAUGCAGCAACUGCAGCAGCAAUUUGACAGUAUCAUGUCUUCAAGGCCCUGCCCCAGAACAAAUAAUCUUCUGUCAUUUCCCCAUCUUUCUGUCCUCUGUUCAAGACUUUGUUUUGUAGGGUGAACAUUGUUCCAGCUUGGGUCAGGUGGCUGCCUAUUGGUGAAUGGAGGGCUGGGGGCACCUAGACUUAAUAGUCCCACCAGACACUGAGGGGAGAGGUAAUCCUUUAAAAGAAAAUCAAGGUGGAGUGGUUACUGGGUCAUCAAAAAUCAGCAUGUGCCCAUGAUAUGUUGACUAUAGGAUGAGUACGUAAGUGUAGUGGACAAUAUAUAUUAUCCCAUUGCACUCCAAGAGCUUGUUGACUUAUCUCUCUCCAUUCAAUAGACAUUGAGGUCCUUGAAGGGAGAACCAUGUCUUAUUUAUCUUUGUAUGCCUGGCUUCCCAAAGACACUCAAUGAAUUUCAUUGCAUGAAAGAAUGAAUCAAUGUCUCUUUCAAUGAAAGCUUUGUUCAGGCUAUUUUAUAAGCUGGGCCCCCAGCCCCAGCCUUCGUUGAUCCUUCUCCCUGAUCCAGAAGCAUCAACACUAAACUCAGCAGCAGACAGCCCUCCCACCCUCUGGGUGCUCCUGAAAGGAAAGAGAAGGAGCCAAAGGACCACUUUUCAGAUACAAGUCUUUCUGCUUCCAUUCUUCUAUCUCUCCUAGCUCUGGUUUGAUCCUCAGGGACUCCUAAUGUGCAUUUGGUCCUGGAGUAUUUAGUAGUUCUUGAUGAGCUAAUAUCUAACUGUCUUAUUUGAUAUAACAUAAUAGAAAGAUUGUUCUUUGGAAUCAGGCAGAUGUGGGUUCCAAUAUGAGUCCACCAGUUACUAGCUUUGUGACCCUGGAUACAUUUUUUAACAUCUCUGGGUCUCAGAUUACACAUGUCCAUUAAAGAUACUACAAGUCUCAAUGAAAUAAUAUAUGCUAAGACACCUGGCAUAAUGCUUGGCAUGUGAUGAUGACAGUGUCCAGUGAACCUCAGCUCCGUUCUGCUUUGGUGGCUUAGUGUGAUAGAGACAUGAUGGGAAUUUGCAGAACUGAAAGGAAAAAAGGCAAAAAAGCAGAAUGAAUAUAUUGAUUUGCUCUAACAUGAAUCAAAGUCAAUUUUUAACUUUUUACUGAACUAUAAAACAAGCCAAAGUUAUUUUUAAAAAAUGUAAUAAAUGAGUUUAAGAGAGAAACAAACCCAUAUAUUUUAUAAAACAACAACAGAAUUACAUGUUCCCCAAAUCAGAACCUGUACAGGCAUAACACUUAAAUGGAAGAGAUUUCUUCUCCAUUGUGUGGUGGUGGUUUUUUCACUCUAGGAUGCUGGAUGAAUUCAGAUGAAUUCCUGGGUGCAUUAUAGGCUGUUAGUUUGUACCACCUGAGAGGUCACUUAUUUGGAAACCCUGGGACAAAGUAGGUCAGGGAGCAGAGUCAAGAACCACCAAAAUGAGCAAGCUGUGGGGGUGGAGUGGGUAGGGGUAGGGAAGGGAUCUGACCAGUAACUUUUCCCUGCUUCUCUGGUAACUGCACCCUUAUAUUUUUGUCUCAUCAAUUUAAAAAUGUUACAUUAAUUACACAAUACAAUGUAAGAAAAAUAUUUAAGGAAGAACAGUUCUAGAAAAAAGGAAUUAAGGAAACACCAUUGGCUAUUUUUGAGUCCUUGUUUUCCCUUCACAUUUUAAAAAUCACGAAUAGAAAACUCAAGGUACUGCAGUGGAAAUAGAAUUUGAGUUGCUCUUAAAUUAAAUCAAACAUGUUGUCCUACGAGAACAGAAACCAACUGAACAGCUCAAAAGGAGGCAUGAUGCUCACCCCCCCCACCUCCAAUAUCACUCCUUUUACCAAUUUUUUCUUGUCUCCAAAAUUCUAAGCUGCUCACAUAUUACAGAUUGUUUCUGAGGAGAAUGAGCGUAUGCUAUUCUGGUGUGGAAAUGCCUUGCAUGCUAAUUCUUGGCUUGGGGCAAAGGAGAGAUAUGAGGUAGAACUGGAGGAUGGUGAGCUGAAAAUAGUAUAACCUCCACACCUCUCCCUAGCAGGCUGAGGAGAGAGCCUCGAUUCUUCUUGUGGGACCUCUUUUCCUCUCUGAGAAACAACCAUCAAUCUCGGUGUCUCCCCCUAUCCUGGCGAAUGGGAGAUUGGAUACAUGACUGAAACUAGGCUUCUCCGAUGCUCUUGACCCGGAAUUUCAAUGUAGAGAGAAGUGACACAAAAACUGAGAAUGGCUGGAAAUCAUUGAGCCUAGUGGCAACGGCCUAAGGAAACUGCAUUAUUCUAAAACCUGUAUCCCUGGAGCUGCUCUUGUACUUUAAUAAAGCAGAUUCUUCAGCCUCUUGUUCUGAUCUGUAAGCUGCUCUAUAUCGUUCCAAUAAAUUCAUUUGUUUGCUUACGA
Molecule: long non-coding RNA, 7708 nt
Organism: Choloepus didactylus (southern two-toed sloth)
Lineage: Eukaryota; Metazoa; Chordata; Mammalia; Pilosa; Megalonychidae
Exons: 3
Source: RefSeq, a predicted model, not a curated record